Molecule: ribosomal RNA, 1022 nt
Filed under: Ralstonia mannitolilytica
Lineage: Bacteria; Pseudomonadati; Pseudomonadota; Betaproteobacteria; Burkholderiales; Burkholderiaceae
Description: bacterial SSU rRNA
Rfam family: Bacterial small subunit ribosomal RNA
Source: RNAcentral
UGACGCGGCGGCAUGCCUUACACUGCAAGUCGAACGGCAGCGGGGGAGAAGCUUGCUUCUCCCGCCGGCGAGUGGCGAACGGGUGAGUAAUACAUCGGAACGUGCCCUGUAGUGGGGGAUAACUAGUCGAAAGAUUAGCUAAUACCGCAUACGACCUGAGGGUGAAAGUGGGGGACCGCAAGGCCUCAUGCUAUAGGAGCGGCCGAUGUCUGAUUAGCUAGUUGGUGGGGUAAAGGCCCACCAAGGCGACGAUCAGUAGCUGGUCUGAGAGGACGAUCAGCCACACUGGGACUGAGACACGGCCCAGACUCCUACGGGAGGCAGCAGUGGGGAAUUUUGGACAAUGGGCGAAAGCCUGAUCCAGCAAUGCCGCGUGUGUGAAGAAGGCCUUCGGGUUGUAAAGCACUUUUGUCCGGAAAGAAAUGGCUCUGGUUAAUACCUGGGGUCGAUGACGGUACCGGAAGAAUAAGGACCGGCUAACUACGUGCCAGCAGCCGCGGUAAUACGUAGGGUCCAAGCGUUAAUCGGAAUUACUGGGCGUAAAGCGUGCGCAGGCGGUUGUGCAAGACCGAUGUGAAAUCCCCGAGCUUAACUUGGGAAUUGCAUUGGUGACUGCACGGCUAGAGUGUGUCAGAGGGGGGUAGAAUUCCACGUGUAGCAGUGAAAUGCGUAGAGAUGUGGAGGAAUACCGAUGGCGAAGGCAGCCCCCUGGGAUAACACUGACGCUCAUGCACGAAAGCGUGGGGAGCAAACAGGAUUAGAUACCCUGGUAGUCCACGCCCUAAACGAUGUCAACUAGUUGUUGGGGAUUCAUUUCCUUAGUAACGUAGCUAACGCGUGAAGUUGACCGCCUGGGGAGUACGGUCGCAAGAUUAAAACUCAAAGGAAUUGACGGGGACCCGCACAAGCGGUGGAUGAUGUGGAUUAAUUCGAUGCAACGCGAAAAACCUUACCUACCCUUGACAUGCCACUAACGAAGCAGAGAUGCAUUAGGUGCUCGAAAGAGAAAGUGGACACAGGUG